This is a long non-coding RNA of Pangasianodon hypophthalmus (striped catfish), 3614 nucleotides long. RefSeq lists it as uncharacterized. The record is from RefSeq and is a predicted model, not a curated record. NCBI's taxonomy places the organism in Eukaryota, Metazoa, Chordata, Actinopteri, Siluriformes, Pangasiidae. The transcript has 3 exons.
AACACACACACAAACCUUUCCUCAGAAACUAAAAAAGUCAGUAUUGAGCAACUCUGAAAUAAACACUCUUCUGUUUUGUUGUUAGAGUCUAGAAGGCCUACAGUCAAAACCGUCAGGCACAACUGCAAAACCAGCUUAAAACAGCCAAGUAAAAAGGAAUAGCAGGAAAACCCCUUCAGAUCAUUAGCACCUAAUGCACUGCACCUCAGCCCAGAACAGAUCAGAAAACACAGCCUAGGUGCAAAACUGAAGGAAGCAGAGAAGGGAGAAGCAGAACAAUGCGAGACAGUGGACGAAAGUGACAGAAACAUCAAAGCAUUUAACAUCUCAAAACUCCAUUAAUAACAGCUACAAAAAAUAUAACUACAUAUUAGUUCACCUUCACAUCUGAGACAGCUUUCCAGUACUCAUCCUGAGGAUACUCCUCAGAAUCCUCCCUUCUCCUUCACAAAUCUUUAACUGGACAAAGUGGAUCUAUAAAGUGGAUCAUCAAGGAAGGAUUGUCUAAUAAAGUGGUCAGUUAAUGCAGUGUUUUAUAAAACACUAGCAAUGUUGCUGAGCCUGAUACAUUAGUGCCAGCAUCUCUACCCCCCCUGUGUCAUGGCUGUCCUGAGAAUGGUCCAUCAUCAAAGGAAUAUCUAGGCAGCAGUGGUUCUGUGCUGGUCUUUCCCAUUGAUAGACCAUUUUGGUGGAUUUGAUACCACUGUGUAUAGCGACAAAUGGGCUACAGUCAGUAACUAUACAUCUACAAAGUAACCCAUGUGGUAAAUUUACUUGAUAAACUGGCAACUCUGUAGGUGUCUAUGGAUAGCACAAUAAAAAUGGACUUAAUUUCUUGGGUACAAAUAAUACAUUCUGACAAACAGCAUUCCAGUUCUCAAACGUCCAUCUGAGGGAAGCGGCUACAAACACAUUACCAUAUAACAUAACAAGAGGACACAAUUUAGCAAAGUCAUUACACACGUGGCAUAACACUAAGGGGUCUAAACACUGAGCAGAUGUUGCCUGGAGAUUUUUCUCAGAGCCGAAAGUCAUGCUGCCUUAAUGCCAAGACAAAUAACCCUAAGAAUGAGCUAAAGGUGUGGGCUGUGUAAGUUUCAUACCAGCUAGCUGUAAAUUAUUCAUAACUGCAAGGGUGGAACUGAUGCGAUGGUCCAACUAAAACACAGUUCCUGGGUGUUUGCACACCAGUGACCACACCAUCCAAACUCAAUGCAUUUCAAUCAGGACACAGACAGUGUUAGGUUAGGAAGUGUAUGGGUACACGGUGAAUUGCUGCUUCAUUACACAAGAGUUGUAACCACCUACAAUUUGGCGCAAGGUUCACUCUACUCAAUGCCCAGUUUUAGGUUAUGCCGUGUCAUUUAGUUAGAACUAGGAGAGUAACGAUACAUUUAUACAUUGUGACGUGGCAUGGCAAUGAAAAAAAGUGAUUUGUGCAUUGUGGAAAUGUGCGAUUCACAUUCAGCAGUCUAUUAAUUAUGCAUGUAAUGCAGUUGCACUUUUGAACACCUGAGGCACAACCGAUAGAGUUAAAAUAUGUAGAGAGCACGCUGGUCACAUGAUCGCAUUCUGUUUUGGACAGCUUGUGAAGUCAUCUGCACAUCUGAAUCCCGAUAGUGCCAGAUUGCAGUGACCAACACGCAUUACAUGUUAUACGGUUACAGACCACGUUGUAACAGUUUAAAAAAAGCUCUUCAGUAGCAUUUAAACAUCACCAAAGGUCACGGAAAUCAGGCAUUUUCAGCGACUUUGGAGCUCUAUUUGUGCUAUGGAGCUUAUUAUGUUAGAGUCGAUCAUUUUCAAAGUCCCCAGGCCGAGAAUUUUCACCAUUCACGAGAGAUUCACCAAAGUCCAGCACCCCAGGGUCACAAAACGCCUGGAGCCUAUCCCAGGGGACUCGGGGCAGAAUGCGGGGGACACUCUGGACAGGGUGCCAACCCAUCACAGGGCAAAAUCACACACUACGGACAAUUUAGAGAAGCCAGUCAGCCUACGAUGCAUGUCUCUGGACUGGGGGAAGAAACCGGAGUACCCAGAGGAAACCCCUGAGGCAUAGAGAGAACAAGCAAACUCCACAAACACAGGGCAGAGACGGGAUUUGAACCCCCAACCCUGGAGGUGCGAGGCAAGGGUGCAAACCACCAAGCCACCAUGGCCCCCAGUUUAAGGACAUUUUACACACAAGAGAAAAGAUGAACAGAAAUUCUAUUUUAAGAAGGCAGUGAUCAAAUAUUGGCCUAAAACACUGGAUUGGUAUCAAAUCAGAUUUGACAUUUUCAGGCCAGAUGAUAUUUAGAUUUUAGGCUGUAAACAGAUUUAAUGUUAACUCCCGGGACACAGAUGUUUGUGUGUGAACACUGGCCACAACAUAUCCAGUUAAAGUACGCCAUCAUGCAUCUGAGGUCACUUUGAAGUAUCACUGAAAACUAGAGCUCAGAUAUGGGAAUCCGUGCAUCACUAAGGGUUUUAUUUCAGUAAAAGAUUGCCCUUUAAUCAUAACUUAUACUGUGGGACUCCAUGCACUUUAGACACAGAUAAGAAAUGAAAGAUUCCUGCUCACAUAAGGACUUUAACACCUAGGAACUGUUUCAUAAUGUUUUCUCAGUUCAUUAAAAUGCUCAGACAUAAAACACACCUCAAACUUUCCUUUACAGAGGCAAUGUUGCAUCAGAGAGUAAUCCAGGUAUGAAUACAUGCAUGUUCAGCAUUCUCAGCAAAACACAGAUAAUAAAUACAAUAUUUUGAAUUAAAAAAAAAAAAAAAACAACCCUGACCAGUGUUCUGCCACUUCCUACUUUAAAAAAAAAAUCAUUUCCCAUUAAAACACCUUCAACAUUGUUGUGACAUUCAAUACAUUUCUGUAAAAGCAUAUAGUCACUGAAAAUUUUAGUAGGACAUGUCGAAACUUUGGUAUUAAACCUUGUGCAUGAUUAAUAAUCAUUAGUAAUAAUAAACAACAAUCAAUAAUAAUUAGCAAAUUAAUAAUCUAUAUUUCAUUUCAAAAGGCUUAGAAUUAUGUUAAAGGAUUAUGUUAAGAAUUGCUCAUAAAAUAUUAACUCAUUGAAUCAUUUUAAUAAAGUUAUAAUUAUGAAGUCCUGAAAAUAAAUCAUGUUUUUUUUUUUAACUAUCUCCUUCUCUUUUUUUUCCCUUUUCUAUGGCUGCAUUUUGAAGUUAAAAAGUAAUAUAAACCUAAUAAAAGUGAUAUGUUGUAAAGUAUAAAUCAUGAAGUUAUGAAGCUGUUGAUGACAUCAUAACACAUUUCCUGAAGAUUAUUUUAACUCUGUUACUCAAACAUAAGACUGUUUGGUAAGAGUGAGGUGUAAGAUAGAUCAAGUGUGUUUCAGAGUUCAACACCAACGCAAACAAACUGACACACAACUAUUAAGUUAGCAAACAUUAACAUUUGCAACAGAAACCCUGCAGAAAGGCGCUACACCUCACAAUAAACUGAUUUCAUUCCCAUUUCCGUUAACAGAACAACAAACAAACACAAACAAACACAAACAAACUGGCCACGUUGGAGCUACUCACGCCUCGGGAAUUACAACUUUUCUCUUGCAGGAAAACUACACAAAGACACAAAACACAUUUUAAUCACUCACACCGCUGUA